AAUCUUCCGCAAUGGACGAAAGUCUGACGGAGCGACGCCGCGUGAGUGAUGAAGGUCUUCGGAGCGUAAAACUCUGUUGUUAGGGUAGAAUAAGUACGGACCGAAAAGGUCAUUACCUUGACGGUACCUAACCAGAAAGCCCCGGCUAACUACGUUCCAGCAGCCGCGGUAAUACGUAGGGUGCAAGCGUUGGCCGGAAUUAUUGGGCGUAAAGGGCGCGGAGGCGGUCUUUUAAGUCUGAUGUGAAAUCUCGUAGCUUAACUACGAGCGGUCAUUGGAAACUGGAAGACUUGAGGACAGAAGAGGAGAGUGGAAUUCCACGUGUAGCGGUGAAAUGCGUAGAGAUGUGGAGGAACACCAGUGGCGAAGGCGACUCUCUGGUCUGUAACUGACGCUGAGGCGCGAAAGCGUGGGGAGCGAACA
Molecule: ribosomal RNA, 423 nt
Filed under: uncultured bacterium
Lineage: Bacteria
Description: partial 16S ribosomal RNA
Rfam family: Bacterial small subunit ribosomal RNA
Source: RNAcentral